This is a long non-coding RNA of Culex pipiens pallens (northern house mosquito), 1126 nucleotides long. RefSeq lists it as uncharacterized. NCBI's taxonomy places the organism in Eukaryota, Metazoa, Arthropoda, Insecta, Diptera, Culicidae. The transcript has 3 exons. The record is from RefSeq and is a predicted model, not a curated record.
AGUUAGCAAGCAGUGUAGCAGUACCAUCAGUACAACCCUCUGCCGUAAGAACGGCAGACAGAAAAGAUGAAUUCGCCAAUAUUUUAGCGUGCCAUAAUUAUGGUUGGCUUAUCUUCGCGCGCUACGCCUCGACCUAAUUAUGUCAUGGGUUGAGCGCCACCCCUUAUGGGAGACUUUCAAAAUACUUUGCCUUGACCUGUUAUGAGAUCCGCACAAGAAGGAAGAAUCUUCAGAUGCUAAAGUUUGCGACAAGAGCACUUUUUUGACUCGAACGGGAGGUCGAUGCACUCCAGUUCGGCAGUCAGAGAUUGCAAAUUCUUAAGAGAUGCUUCGGCUAAACUCGCGCAAUUAUUGCAAUUGUAAUGUUGCUCGAGUUCUAGAGAACCGAAGUUGUUCUAAUUGCACCUCUACUGAGGGUUCUAGGACUUCGACUCGGUCACUUUUACCCUGAUCGUGGAGGAAGCAGGAGUGGUCGAAGGACCGUUUUGGAAUCGUUUGAGUUAGAUCUCGCGGCUAGUGGUAGAAUUAGGAGUAGGGUAGUGGCGAACCAGAUUGAAACCCUGAAACUCCAGGUGGCAACCGGCAUCAUCCGUAGCAGAGCGACCACUCCAACCGACAACCCAGCGCUUCUGGACUCCACCAAGGGGUCGAAGUUCCGGGGUGAACCCCCAAGCAGCUCGUCCGUCAACAUACGAGCUGGGCGGCGUCCAUCAACACCUGCCGCGGUCGAACCCUCGACAGCCAACCGACCGAACCGGGACGGCCUCGUGGAGGCCUAGGUACACCACCAAGUUCCCGCGCGCAUCCGCGCCGUCGUCGCAACCGACGCUAUCAUCGCAGCAUCGUAGCUGCACACCUGUGCGCCCCCGCACACCGGAAGUGAUGCCGAACGCACGCCGUUAGUGCCAACCCGUCUGCUGUUAGCCGCCGGCCGAACCAUCUCGCCGUGGCCGAAGCGGUAAGCGCGCCACCACCUGCUCGCCGGAUCGCCAACCAACACACGUAAAACCAUGGUCGUGUAAGUACUUUUUCCCCCGACAUGCGCAUGAUCGAUCGUUGGCCAAGACUUUUUCCGCCAACCCAGGGUGCAACAUAAGCCACCCCCACAUGUUGCGUGAUCGCAAAC